Peromyscus leucopus (white-footed mouse) is the source of this 746-nucleotide non-coding RNA. The record is from the annotation of a RefSeq genome assembly. NCBI's taxonomy places the organism in Eukaryota, Metazoa, Chordata, Mammalia, Rodentia, Cricetidae.
CCUUUGCAUAUUGCUCCCUUGGGAGACCCACCCUUCUUAGUCUGAGAUAAAAAUUGUCCUCUUGCAGUGACUGAUCAGUCUCCUCAGACUGCCUCCUCAAAAUGAAGUUACCUGUUGUGCUGUUGGUGCUGCUGGUGUUCAGUAUUCCUGCUUCCAGAGGGGAUGUUGUGAUGACUCAAACUCCACUCUCCCUGCCUGUCAGCCUUGGGGAUAAAGCCUCCAUCUCUUGCAGGUCUAGUCAGAGCCUUGUACAUAGUAAUGGAAACACCUAUUUGGAAUGGUACCUACAGAAGCCAGGCCAGUCUCCACAGCUCCUGAUCUACAAGGUUUCCAAUAGAUAUUCUGGAGUCCCAGACAGGUUCAGUGGCAGUGGGUCAGGCACAGAUUUCACACUCAAGAUCAGCAGAGUGGAGCCUGAGGAUUUGGGAGUAUAUUACUGUUUGCAAGGUUCACAUGCUCCUCCCACAGUGAUUCACACCCUAACAAAAACAUCUUUGCUUGGGGUGACCCAGCUGCCAAACCUGUUACUUCUCUGUCAGAGAGAAGUGUUGAGGAACUCCUCAUUAUUUGUUGCAGCUGAGGGUCUUGGAGCACGAGUCCCAUGGCUACACCUCACUGGUCAUGCAUUUCUGGUCUCAUCAGCUGCAAUAACAAUGAUGUUGCAUUUGUCUAAGGAAAAUGGUGAACAUGUCCCCUUUCAUCAACCAGGAAUAAUGGAGUUAAAGCUCAGUGAAAACCUAUUUUGA